AAUCUUCAUGGUUGCUGGGUAGGAGAGCGUCCUGCGAGGGGCGAAGCGGCCGGGUGACCGUGCCGUGGACUUCGUGGGAGUGAGAAUGCAGACAUGAGUAGCGAGAGACGGGUGAGGAUCCCGUCCGCUGGAUGACCAAGGGUUCCGGGGCCACGUUCGUCGUCCCCGGGUGAGUCGGGUCCUAAGGCGAGGCCGACAGGCGUAGUCGAAUGGAUGAACGGGUGGAUAUUCCCGUACCGACCAUGGACCGGCAAAACCGAGACGGUGAGUACUAACCUCCGCCUCGUGGUGGUUCCUUCCUUCGGGUUGGUUCCGCCGCGUGGUGUUGGGAGCGUAGCCGUAGUAGGUCAGCGCAGGGGUGACACGGAAUGGGAGCCGGCCGCGGAGGUGGUUUUCCGUGGUCAAGCACGCAGCCAGUCAUGUAGGCAAAUCCGCAUGGCGCGCAUGGCGAGGUGUGAUGAUGGGAGCCGUUAUGGCUCGAUAUCCGGUUGUCCAGGCCGUCGAGAAAAGCCUCGGCGUGAGGGCCAUGGCCGCCCGUACCCCAAACCGACACUGGUGGUCAGGUAGAGAAUACCAAGGCGAUCGAGCGAAUCCUGGUCAAGGAACUCGGCAAAUCACUCCCGUGCCUUCGGUAUAAGGGAGACCCGCUGGGGUGAAGGACCUUGCGUCCGGAGCUUUGGUGGGUGGCACAGACCAGGGGGUAGCGACUGUUUACCAAAAACACAGGUGCAUGCGAAGGCGAAAGCCGCUGUAUAUGCACUGACGCCUGCCCGGUGCCGGAAGGUUAAGAGGAUCCGUCAACUCUUCGGAGCGAAGCGGUGAAUUCAAGCCCCGGUAAACGGCGGUGGUAACUAUAACCAUCCUAAGGUAGCGAAAUUCCUUGUCGGGUAAGUUCCGACCUGCACGAAUGGCGUAACGACUUCCCCACUGUCUCGACCAGGAGCUCGGCGAAAUUGCAGUACGAGUAAAGAUGCUCGUUAAGCGCAGAAGGACGAAAAGACCCCGGGACCUUUACUAUACCUUGGUAUUGGCGUUAGGCGCGGAUUGUGUAGCAUAGGCGGGAGGCUUCGAAGCGUGGGCGCCAGCUCAUGUGGAGCCGCAAGGUGAAAUACCGCUCUGUUCUCGUUUGACGUCUAACCUCGACAAGUCAUCCUUGUCAGGGACAGUGCCUGGCGGGUAGUUCAACUGGGGCGGUUGCCUCCCAAAGAGUAACGGAGGCGCUCAAAGGUCCGCUCAGCCCGGUUGGCAAUCGGGUGUCGAGUGUAAUCGCACAAGCGGGCUUGACUGCGAGGACGACGGUCCGAGCAGGGACGAAAGUCGGAGAUAGUGAUCCGGUGCCGGCGCACGGGCGCGGCAUCGCUCAACGGAUAAAAGGUACCCCGGGGAUAACAGGCUGAUCAUUCCCAAGAGUCCAUAUCGACGGGAUGGUUUGGCACCUCGAUGUCGGCUCGUCGCAUCCUGGGGCUGGAGCAGGUCCCAAGGGUUCGGCUGUUCGCCGAUUAAAGCGGCACGCGAGCUGGGUUCAGAACGUCGUGAGACAGUUUGGUCUCUAUCCUCUGCGCUCGUUGGAAUCCUGAGGAGGCCUGCCCAUAGUACGAGAGGACCUGGGUGGACGAACCUCUGGUAUGCCGGUUGUCGCGCCAGCGGCACGGCCGGUUGGCUACGUUCGGGAGGGAUAACCGCUGAAAGCAUCUAAGCGGGAAGCCUGCUCCAAGAUUAGGAUUCCAUGGAUCUUCGAGAUCCUGUAGCCCGCAUGUUGAACACGUGUUUGAUAGGCCGGAGGUGGAAGCCCCGUGAGGGGUGGAGCCGACCGGUACUAACGGGCGACGGCGACACAA
RNAcentral lists this ribosomal RNA (1838 nucleotides) under human gut metagenome. RNAcentral describes it as "bacterial LSU rRNA". It matches the Rfam family "Bacterial large subunit ribosomal RNA", at positions 1210 to 2925 of the family's 2925-position model. The record is from RNAcentral.